Molecule: long non-coding RNA, 725 nt
Filed under: Apteryx owenii (little spotted kiwi)
Lineage: Eukaryota; Metazoa; Chordata; Aves; Apterygiformes; Apterygidae
Description: lncRNA (ENSAOWG00000013190.1)
Source: RNAcentral
GUGUCCUUCGGGGGGAGCGGGGCGGAAAGGGGGAGUGUAAAACUGGCGUGCGGCUCUGAGGGUGAGCGGAGCCGCCGUUUGUUCAUCCCAGAGCUUUUGUCAUGCCCGAAAUCUAGAUCACAGUAACACUCAAUCCAGAAUCAGAUGGUCUGCGACUGAUGUGUCACUUGGGUCCCUGCUCAGCAGAAGUGCUGUAGUCUACAGGUACAGAAGCUUACAAGCAAACAUGGGCCUACACUGGAAUCAAGGAUUUUGGUUCCAUUCAUUGCAGAAAACAUGGCACACUGAUUGAUGUGGCUGCGAGAGCUUUUGCUUGGAUAAGUGAAUCUUGGAACUCCCUGAGUCUCAUAGGAUGUUUGAAGAAGAAUGUUAAUGUACAGAUCAUUCACCUCAUCUGUUUUGAUUUUACACAGUUUGUCAGAUUCCCUGAGAUAAGAAGCUAUGAGAUUAAAACCACCUGACUUAAUGGAUGUCAAAUAUUGCAGACCAAGAGACAUCUGGUAUUCUAAUCUACCAUACUAUGGAGCUGGCCUGAGAAGUAUUAUACAUACAUCCUAAAUUACUGAUGCUGGAAGCCAGAAUUCUUAACAGGUGAUACACUGCUUCAUUUGUCUAAGACCAUGAAGAACCUGUGAAAUCAUCGGAUUUCUUUAAACAGCUAUUUUAUGUUUGUGCCUGCCUACAUCAAUAAUAAAUAAACCCACCUGAUAAUGAAAUGACUUCUC